This is a non-coding RNA of Ictidomys tridecemlineatus (thirteen-lined ground squirrel), 71 nucleotides long. The record is from Rfam. NCBI's taxonomy places the organism in Eukaryota, Metazoa, Chordata, Mammalia, Rodentia, Sciuridae.
GGGGCUGGGGCUCAGAGGUAGAGCACUCACUUAUCACGUGUAAGGCACUGGGUUCAAUCCUCAGCAUCCCA